Molecule: non-coding RNA, 409 nt
Organism: Paramuricea clavata
Lineage: Eukaryota; Metazoa; Cnidaria; Anthozoa; Malacalcyonacea; Plexauridae
Source: the annotation of a GenBank genome assembly
GAGUACGCAUUCAGUAUCAAAGUUGAGUUAUACAUUACAGUGUGUCUCAAAAAAAAGUGAACCCUUUCAAAUUCAAAUUAGCUAUAACGUAUUGUAGUAAUUUGACAGCUCUAAUUGCUUUGAAUUAAUGAUUGGAUAAGAACACAAGGUCUUGUACCACAGUUCUUGUACUCAUGGGACAAAACAUGUCAAAACUCUUAAAAACUUUUAAAUUUUCUCAUUUUUAUUUCUUUGCGGAUUAAUUCAAAGCAAUUAGAGCUGUCAAAUUACUACAAUACGUUAUAGCUAAUUUGAAUUUGAAAAGGUUCACUUUUUUUUAGACACACCGUGUAGAAUUAUAUAGUUGCAUGCAGUCAUUGUUUGUUUUAGUGCAUGUAGUAAUUAAAAAUCAAGUAAUAACAAAUAUAUG